AUUAUGAGCACCACUGAGUUUUAUACUCAACGCGUUGAUUUAUCACGCGCAGGUUAAAGACUGUGGUUGCUGCUCGAAGACUAGAAGAGUAGCAUCAGAGCAGAAGUGACUAUUGUGGUAGUAGUAGAUUGAGGUUUAUGUACUUAAGAAUUAUAGCAUGUAUAAGUAUUAUAUUUUCAGAGAUUGUAUUAUUUGAAUUAUAACUUAAGCAUGUAAUUAGUAAUUAUGUUGGUGUCUAUAUUCGGAGAUAAGCAUAAAAUUCAUUAAAUGAUUGAAUAUAAAUUAUUUCAAGAGCGUUGGUA
This 302-nucleotide long non-coding RNA is filed under the name Jatropha curcas. RNAcentral's name for it is "long non-coding RNA (JCUR_LNC001471)". The record is from RNAcentral. Lineage: Eukaryota; Viridiplantae; Streptophyta; Magnoliopsida; Malpighiales; Euphorbiaceae.